AGUGAACGCUGGCGGUAGGCCUAACACAUGCAAGUCGAACGGCAGCACAGUAAGAGCUUGCUCUUACGGGUGGCGAGUGGCGGACGGGUGAGGAAUACAUCGGAAUCUACUUUUUCGUGGGGGAUAACGUAGGGAAACUUACGCUAAUACCGCAUACGACCUACGGGUGAAAUCAGGGGAUCUUCGGACCUUGCGCGAUUGAAUGAGCCGAUGUCGGAUUAGCUAGUUGGCGGGGUAAAGGCCCACCAAGGCGACGAUCCGUAGCUGGUCUGAGAGGAUGAUCAGCCACACUGGAACUGAGACACGGUCCAGACUCCUACGGGAGGCAGCAGUGGGGAAUAUUGGACAAUGGGCGCAAGCCUGAUCCAGCCAUGCCGCGUGUGUGAAGAAGGCCUUCGGAUUGUAAAGCCCUUUUGUUGGGAAAGAAAAGCAGCAGGUUAAUACCCCGCUGUUCUGACGGUACCCAAAGAAUAAGCACCGGCUAACUUCGUG
This 492-nucleotide ribosomal RNA is filed under the name uncultured bacterium. RNAcentral's name for it is "partial 16S ribosomal RNA". It matches the Rfam family "Bacterial small subunit ribosomal RNA", at positions 29 to 507 of the family's 1533-position model. The record is from RNAcentral.